This 2325-nucleotide non-coding RNA is filed under the name Cardioglossa melanogaster (Amiet's long-fingered frog). RNAcentral describes it as "partial contains 12S ribosomal RNA, tRNA-Val, and 16S ribosomal RNA". The stretch from base 2 to 938 matches the Rfam family "Bacterial small subunit ribosomal RNA". The record is from RNAcentral. Lineage: Eukaryota; Metazoa; Chordata; Amphibia; Anura; Arthroleptidae.
AUUUGGUCCUAUCUUAUUAUCAGCUUAUACUUAACUUACACAUGCAAGUCUCAGCAACCCAGUGAAUACGCCCUUAAACCUACAAGGAAAAGGAGCUGGUAUCAGGCACAGAUUCUCUAGCCCACAACACCUAGCAUCGUCACACCCCCAAGGGUAUUCAGCAGUGAUUAACAUUGACAGUAAGCGACAGCUUGACUCAGUUAAAGUAUAAUAAAGCUGGCCAACUCGGUGCCAGCCGCCGCGGCUACACCGCUGGACUUAAGUUGAUAGUCAACGGCGUUAAGCGUGUUUUAAGUAAGUAACAAUUAGAGUUAAAUCCAAGCCAAGCCGUGAUACGCUCGCUCUACGAAAACACAUAAUCGAAAGUUAUUCUAAUUAAUCUCUUGAAUCCACGACAGUUAAGAAACAAACUGGGAUUAGAUACCCCACUAUGCUUAACCGUAAAAUAUAUACUUACACUUCAAAUCGCCGGAGUAUUACGGGCGAGAGGCCUAAAACUCAAAGGACUUGACGGUGUCCCACCCACCUAGAGGAGCCUGUUCUAUAAUCGAUGAUCCCCGAUAAACCUAACCACUUUUUGCUAAUCAGUCUGUAUACCUCCGUCGCAAGCUUACCAUGUGAAUGACAAUUAGUGAGCAAGAAGAUCCCUACAUCAAAACGUCAGGUCAAGGUGCAACCCACGAAGUGGGUAGAAAUGGGCUACAGUUUCUAAUUUAGAACAUACGAAAAUCUUAUAUGAAAAAUAAUUAUGAAGGCGGAUUUAGCAGUAAGGGGGAAAUAAAGUGUCCCCCUUAACUUGGCACUGGGACGCGUACACACCGCCCGUCACCCUCUUCAAUCAAAAUUACUGACAGUCAAUGACAAUAAUAUAUUACUCAAGAAGGGGCAAGUCGUAACAUGGUAAGCAUACUGGAAAGUGUGCUUGGAUUAACAAAAUAUAGCUUAACUAAAGCUCUUCGCUUACACCGAACACAUAUCUGUUCAACUCAGAUUAUUUUGAGCCUUAUACUCCGCCCCCCCCCCCCCCAAAAAAAUAAAAACCUCCUCCCCAUUUUUCUUAUUAUAAAACAUUUUAACAACUUAGUAAACGCGAUUAAAAAUUUAACAAGAGCUAUAUAUAAAGUACCGCAAGGAAAAGUGAAAUAGAAAUGAAAUAAACAAAAAGCAAGUAAAAGCAGAGAUUAAUACUCGUACCUUUUGUAUCAUGGUCUAGCUAGUCCUAACAAGCAAAUUACCCCAUUUAGCUUGUACCCCCGAAACUAGGCGAGCUACUCAAAAACAGCUUUAUCGAGCCAACCCGUCUCUGUUGCAAAAGAGUGGGAAGAUUUUUAAGUAGAGGUGACAUGCCUAUCGAGCCAAGAGAUAGCUGGUUGCUCAAGAAAAGAACCUUAGUUCUGCCUCAAAUCUUACAUAGCAUUCAAUAUGCUUAUUUUGAGAGUUAUUCAAAUAUGGUACAGCCUAUUUGAUAUUGGAUACAACCAAAAAUUUAGGGUAAUGUAACUGUUAUUCAACCAAGUUGACUUAAAAGCAGCCAUCCUAAAAAAGCGUUAUAGCUUAAUUGAUAUAUUAAUUAAUACCCCUUAUUAUGCAAAUCCCUAACCCAGUAUUGAGCAUUUUUAUAAUUUAUAAACGAUAUUAUGCUAGAACUAGUAACAAGAAGACUUCUCCAAAAUGUAAGUAUACCUCAAACAUGAACAUUACUAUAACUAGUAAUAACUCCCUCCUAGAAACCCUUACUAAUUUCUUAUAUUAAACUUACACAAGAACACUCCUGGAAAGAUUAAAAUAAAAAGAAGGAACUCGGCAAAUUUUAGUCUCGCCUGUUUACCAAAAACAUCACCUCUUGAUUAAAUAUAAGAGGCCCCGCCUGCCCAGUGAUUAUUUCAACGGCCGCAGUAACCUAACCGCGCAAAGGUAGCACAAUCACUUGUUCUCUAAAUAAGGACUAGUAUGAACGGCAUCACGAAGACUAUACUGUCUCCUUUUUAUAAUCAGUGAAACUGAUCUUCCCGUGAAGAAGCGGGAAUUAUUAUAUCAGACGAGAAGACCCCAUGGAGCUUUAAGUCAAACACCAACUGCUAUACUAAAUCACUAUAACUUUGGCAGAUCUGACUGUUAACUUUCGGUUGGGGUGACCACGGAGUAAAAUAAAACCUCCACAAUGAAUGAACCAAAUCCUAAUUCAAGAAUUACACUUCUAAAAAUCAAGACAUUGUCUUUUAUUGACCCAAGCCUUUGAUCAAUGAACCAAGUUACCCUGGGGAUAACAGCGCAAUCCAUUUCAAGAGCUCCUAUCGACAAAUGGGUUUACGAGCCUCGAUGUUG